CGAUGGCGACCGGCGCACGGGUGAGUAACACGUAUCCAACCUGCCGAUGACUCGGGGAUAGCCUUUCGAAAGAAAGAUUAAUACCCGAUGGCAUAGUUCUUCCGCAUGGUGGAACUAUUAAAGAAUUUCGGUCAUCGAUGGGGAUGCGUUCCAUUAGGUUGUUGGCGGGGUAACGGCCCACCAAGCCUUCGAUGGAUAGGGGUUCUGAGAGGAAGGUCCCCCACAUUGGAACUGAGACACGGUCCAAACUCCUACGGGAGGCAGCAUG
This 268-nucleotide ribosomal RNA is filed under the name uncultured bacterium. RNAcentral describes it as "partial 16S ribosomal RNA". It matches the Rfam family "Bacterial small subunit ribosomal RNA", at positions 86 to 353 of the family's 1533-position model. The record is from RNAcentral.